RNAcentral lists this ribosomal RNA (504 nucleotides) under uncultured bacterium. RNAcentral's name for it is "partial 16S ribosomal RNA". It matches the Rfam family "Bacterial small subunit ribosomal RNA", at positions 29 to 507 of the family's 1533-position model. The record is from RNAcentral.
ACGAACGCUGGCGGCGUGCCUAAUACAUGCAAGUAGAACGCACAGUUUAUACCGUAGCUUGCUGCACCAUAGACUGUGAGUUGCGAACGGGUGAGUAACGCGUAGGUAACCUGCCUGGUAGCGGGGGAUAACUAUUGGAAACGAUAGCUAAUACCGCAUAAUAUUAAUUAUUGCAUGAUAAUUAAUUGAAAGGUGCAAUUGCACCACUACCAGAUGGACCUGCGUUGUAUUAGCUAGUAGGUGAGGUAACGGCUCACCUAGGCGACGAUACAUAGCCGACCUGAGAGGGUGAUCGGCCACACUGGGACUGAGACACGGCCCAGACUCCUACGGGAGGCAGCAGUAGGGAAUCUUCGGCAAUGGACGAAAGUCUGACCGAGCAACGCCGCGUGAGUGAAGAAGGUUUUCGGAUCGUAAAGCUCUGUUGUAAGAGAAGAACGGGUGUGAGAGUGGAAAGUUCACACUGUGACGGUAUCUUACCAGAAAGGGACGGCUAACUACGUG